This is a long non-coding RNA of Bufo bufo (common toad), 215 nucleotides long. RefSeq lists it as uncharacterized. NCBI's taxonomy places the organism in Eukaryota, Metazoa, Chordata, Amphibia, Anura, Bufonidae. The record is from RefSeq and is a predicted model, not a curated record. The transcript is spliced from 3 exons.
GAGAAGGUAUAAAUGGGCAGUGCACAGGGCCCAACUUUACUAAUCAACCCUAAAAUCAACAUUUAACCCGUUGGGUUUUAAAGUCUUUAAAGUAUAUAUCCAGUAUAACUCACGUUUUUUGAGGAGAGCUUGUCUAUCUCCCCCCCGUCUCCCCAAUUCUAUCUGUUCCAAAAUGCGAAAUCUCAGAUCAUUCUGUGUGUGUCCUGCAUCUUUAA